GGAAGGGAGAGGAAGGAUGAUGGAAUCCCGAAUGAAAAGGGCUGAAGAACGGCGAGGGGUGACGAGCGCGAGAGGCAGAGCCAUUCAUCCCCGGACAGGCCCCCGCCCCCUGCCAAGGAGGGGGGCGCCCAAGACAGGCCUCCCGCCACCCCUGGAGCGUUGCCUCUGCACGGGGGGCAAGCCCCCUCCCCGAAGCCCCCUCCCCAGCCGCUUCUCAGAAACCAGGGAAUGCUUCCAGAACGAACAAUUGAGAAGACUGCAGAAUGCAGACCAGAGCACCCAACAGGGUUUGUGGAGUCAAACUGGGGACNUUCACACAACCCUUCAACUGCCGCUAGAAUAAGCUUCUGCAAGAUUCAACAGAUCUUCCCAGGUCCUGCCAGGCAUCAGGCUUUCCAGCAAUCCUAUCUAUAAUGAAUGAAAAAAAUAUUGGACCAUUGCAGGAGAAGUCGUUCUGGUUUUGCACCAGUGUUAUCUCCUUGCUGCGCCCUCUGCUGGAUUAAGUGGCCCUCGAAGUGGAGUUCAACAGUUCCAUUGCUGUUCCUGAGGGUGUCCUGAAGUCUCCAUUUAUGUGCAUGCCUUUCUGAGGUGAGGUGACCAGAAUUGUACACAAUAUUCCAAGUGUGGCCUCACCGUAGAUUUAUAAAGAGGCACCAUGACGCU
This 663-nucleotide long non-coding RNA is filed under the name Salvator merianae (Argentine black and white tegu). RNAcentral's name for it is "lncRNA (ENSSMRG00000016320.1)". Lineage: Eukaryota; Metazoa; Chordata; Lepidosauria; Squamata; Teiidae. The record is from RNAcentral.